CCGUGCUAGGCGGGGAACUAGCGGUGCCCUGUACCUGCAAUCCGCUCCAGCAGGGCUGAAUUCCCUCCCGAGGUCUUCGUUUUCGAGAGCCGCCGGCGCGAACGGCGUCGAGGAUCGGGUCCCGCGCAGCGGCGACACGCGAACCGCGUCAGGUCCGGAAGGAAGCAGCGCUAAGCGAGGCUCGUCGGGUGCCGCGGCCAGGCCUGGUCUGAGCCGAUCGCACAGGUGGGCGCGGGGACGUCCUGGUCGACGGGGGGUGCACGG
Molecule: signal recognition particle RNA, 264 nt
Filed under: Candidatus Limnocylindrales bacterium
Lineage: Bacteria; Bacillati; Chloroflexota; Candidatus Limnocylindria; Candidatus Limnocylindrales
Description: signal recognition particle sRNA large type
Rfam family: Bacterial large signal recognition particle RNA
About the family: The signal recognition particle (SRP) is a universally conserved ribonucleoprotein involved in the co-translational targeting of proteins to membranes. Archaeal SRP consists of a 7S RNA and homologues of the eukaryotic SRP19 and SRP54 proteins.
Source: RNAcentral